UACGUAGGGUGCGAGCGUUAAUCGGAAUUACUGGGCGUAAAGCGUGCGCAGGCGGUUGUGCAAGACAGAUGUGAAAUCCCCGGGCUCAACCUGGGAACUGCAUUUGUGACUGCACGGCUGGAGUGCGGCAGAGGGGGAUGGAAUUCCGCGUGUAGCAGUGAAAUGCGUAGAUAUGCGGAGGAACACCGAUGGCGAAGGCAAUCCCCUGGGCCUGCACUGACGCUCAUGCACGAAAGCGUGGGGAGCAAACAGG
Molecule: ribosomal RNA, 253 nt
Filed under: uncultured bacterium
Lineage: Bacteria
Description: partial 16S ribosomal RNA
Rfam family: Bacterial small subunit ribosomal RNA
Source: RNAcentral